RNA transcript from Homo sapiens (human), 7729 nucleotides. It is a transcript of the gene named RNA binding motif protein 41, with no coding region annotated. The transcript has 8 exons. The record is from RefSeq and is marked validated. NCBI's taxonomy places the organism in Eukaryota, Metazoa, Chordata, Mammalia, Primates, Hominidae.
GAGGUCCGCGGCCUAUUUACCCAAGUUGGAGGUAGGGGCCUGUGGAAACAUGAAGAGGGUAAACAGCUGUGUGAAGAGUGAUGAGCAUGUCCUGGAGGAGCUGGAAACAGAAGGGGAGAGGCAGCUGAAAAGCCUCCUUCAGCAUCAACUUGAUACUUCUGUCUCCAUUGAGGAAUGUAUGUCUAAGAAAGAGAGCUUUGCUCCUGGUACUAUGUACAAGCCCUUUGGGAAGGAAGCAGCUGGGACUAUGACUUUGUCCCAAUUCCAGACACUGCAUGAGAAGGACCAGGAAACUGCUUCUCUCAGGGAAUUAGGGCUUAAUGAAACAGAAAUCUUGAUCUGGAAGAGCCAUGUUUCUGGUGAAAAGAAGACAAAACUGAGGGCAACUCCUGAAGCAAUACAGAACCGUCUUCAAGAUAUUGAAGAAAGGAUCUCGGAGCGUCAGCGCAUUCUUUGCCUGCCACAGAGAUUUGCAAAGAGCAAACAGCUGACCCGGCGAGAAAUGGAAAUAGAAAAGUCUUUAUUUCAGGGAGCUGAUCGUCACUCCUUCCUUAAGGCUCUUUAUUACCAAGCAUACCACAAAAAGACAAGUGCAGACAAGUACAUGACCUCAAUGAAGAGGAAGAUAAAAUUAGGCACAAAAGAUGAACCCCAAAAGAAGAACAAAGGUGAUCCCAUGAACAACCUGGAAAGUUUUUACCAAGAGAUGAUAAUGAAAAAACGUCUUGAAGAGUUUCAACUUAUGAGAGGACUUACCAGUUUUCCCAGAGAAGACUUCCAAAAUCUUUCUUACGAGGGUACUACCAGCGUUCUAGGAGCCAAAUGGCAGAAAAGGACUGGGAGGACCUCAACAUUUAGUAUUCUCUUAGUUUCCUUGCUUUCAGAAACAGUGUUCACAUCUUCAGCCAUGUAUGGCAUUCCCCAUCUUCUGACAAUGAGCCUCAAGUUUUCUACCAGGAUUGGCAAGUUAUCUUUUACCCCAUAGCAUAUUGUGAGGGAGGGUAUUUAAAAAUCAUAUUGGCUUUUAGACAGCCUUCAACUGAUUUGCCUUAUUUUAACCCCAUCCCUUCACAUUUAUUUCUGAAGGUAAGUGAAAUUAUCAGUUCCUGAACUAUUUAAGGAUUCUUAAGUGGUGACAGGUGUGUUCUUGGCUCUCUCCACUACCAGUUUAAAAUUCAGCUUUCUUCAGUGUGCUGAGUUGGUUCCUGCUCAUCCAAUUAUUUUUCAUCUUCCAGAUUAUUAUUGCUGUUGUCUCCUUUUCUUGUUCCUCCUGACCUUGUUGAUUUGUGUUUUUUUUUUUUUUUUUUUAAGUGCCUAUAGUUUUAGAGAGUUUUCUGGAUGGAAUGAAAUUAAAUGAAUGUGUUCAAUCCACCAUUUUUAUGUGAAACUAAUUCUAAUCAUAAUGAAAGAGUUUUCUUACGGCUGAGCAUGGUGUCUCACGCCUGUAAUCCCAGCAUUUUGGGAGGCCAAGGCGGGUGGAUCACCUGAGUUUGGGAGUUCAAGACCAGCCUGGACAACAUGGUGAAACCCCACGUCUACUAAAAAUACAAAAAUUAGCCAGGUGUGGUGGCACAUGACUGUAAUCCCAGCUACUCGGGAGGCUGAGGCAUGAGAAUCACUUGAGCCUGGGAGGCCAAGGUUGCAGUGAGCAGAGAUUGCGCCACUGCACUCCAGCCUGGGUGACAGAGUGAGACUUUGUCUCAAAAAGAAAAAAACAAAGAGUGCCUUACCUCCUUUAUAUGAUAUUUUGGUUGAUCCUCAAUUUGUUUUAGGUAUUAUACCUGAAGAACCUUAGCCCUCGGGUGACUGAAAGAGAUCUUGUGUCAUUGUUCGCUCGGUUCCAGGAGAAAAAAGGACCUCCAAUUCAAUUCCGAAUGAUGACUGGACGAAUGAGGGGCCAGGCUUUUAUCACCUUUCCCAAUAAGGAGAUAGCAUGGCAAGCAUUGCAUCUAGUAAAUGGAUACAAACUACAUGGGAAAAUAUUGGUGAUAGAGUUUGGAAAGAACAAAAAGCAACGGUCAAAUCUCCAAGCGACUUCUCUCAUAUCAUGUGCUACAGGUAGCACUACAGAAAUUAGUGGUAGCUAGAAUAUAUAUAAAUUGUGGGUCCUGGAUGGUCUUUCUUGAAUUGGAAUCUUGGAUCUAGGAUUUAUGUAUAGACACCAGUUUGUUUGGAGUUGAAGAGGAAAAACUAACUGAGGGAGGGGAAAAAAGUAAUUUCAGCUUUUGGAGAGAACUGGUAGAAAACAUUUUCUAUUAUAUAAUUGAAGACUAUAUAGGACAGAUGAUAUGCUGAGUAUGAAGGGUAAAGUGCAAAGAGUAUUAUUUUCUCAGGAUGAAUUACAACGGAUUAUUCCUAAGGAUUUUUAAAAAUCUUUAUAAUUUUUCUGGGGUCCUCAAUAUUUGUCUCUAGAGAUAACAUUCUUUCUUAGACUGCUUCGUAUACACAGAAAUAAAAAACUAAUUAAAUGUUGAAAUAUUUCUUUACUAGAGCCCAUUUGCCAUAUUUCAUCCACCUAGUAAAUAAAAGAGUAGGACCCCCAGGCCUAAGCAUCAACAAAUGCUAUUAAGUCAGAACUAUCAGCAGUAAUAGUAGGUAGUUUCAUAAGUCAGUUGACUUAUUUAAUGAAUGCUUCCUCCACAAGUUAUCAGUCUUCAAAAAGCUAUAUAUUUUUCUAGUGAAAUAUUUUAGAUCAAAAUGUUGGUGUUCUCACAGCCAUUUAAGCUAGCAACCAUUGAGUAUCAUUGAAUUCAUAGCAAUAAACAUUGAUUAAGUGUCUAAUAUAUGUUAAAUAUUAGGCAUAUGAAUUUUAGAAGAGGAACAUACAAGCAAAGAAUGCCAAACGGAAAUGGAAAUAAAGCGUUCUCUAGAAAAGAGGAUGCCAGUCACAAAUCCCCCAGUUGUUUGUUUAUGGUUGCUGGAAAAUAAAAAAACAAUAUACAGAGAGGAAGUAGUACAAACUGGAGUCAGACCUGUACAGCCACACUUAACAUUCUAUGACCUUGGCAAGUCACUUAAUCUGAGCCUCACAUUUUUCAUCUAUAAAGUGAGGAUAAUAAUGCUACUUACCUCACUGGGUUGUGAAGAUGAACUGAGAUAUUAUCCAGGCUGAAGAACAGAAAGGAAAACAAUGAAUAAAAUUGAACAAGAGUAUAGAACCUGUGUGACACCAUUAAGCAUUCCUACAUAUUUCUAAUGGGAGUACAGGAAAAAAGGAAAAGAAAUGAAGGAGCAGAAAAAUAUUCUAAGAAAUAAUGGCUAUAAAUACCCCCGAUUUGAUGAGAGACAUUAACCUAUACAUCCCAGAAGAAAAAGAAAUUACAGACAGAUACAUCAUAAGAAAAAUGCUAAAACCCAAAAACGAAAAGAAAAUCUUAACAGCAAUACGAGAAAAAUGAGCCAUCACUUACCAAGGAACCCAAAUAAAAUUAGUAGUUGACUUCCCCUCAGAAACAAUGGCAGUGGCAGUGGAAUAACACAUUCAAAGUGUUCAAAGAAAAUAACUGUCAACCAAUAAUCCUAUAUACAAUAAAACUAUUUUUCAAAAAUGAACGUGAAAUAAAACAUCUCACAUAAUCAAAAACCAAGAGAAUUUGUUGCUGGCAGACCUGACUUGCUGGAAAUACAAAAGGAAGUUCUUCAGCCUGAAAGCAAGUGACCACAGACAGUAAUCUGAAUCUACACACAUGCAGAAAAAGAGCACAGGCAAAAAUAAUUAUGUAAUUAUCAGAAACAAUCUAUGCAUUUUUCUUUUUUCUCUUAACUAAUGUAAAACACAGUUGUAUAAAACAAUAUGUAUAUAGUUGCAUCGUUUGGCCUAUAACGUAUAAAAUAUAAUAUAUUUGCCGAUAACAGGUUGAAGAAGCUGAGUGGAAGCAAAACUGUCUUGUACUAAAGAACUGACUCCAGAUGGUAAGACAAAUCCACAGGAACAAAUGGAGAGAACGUGAAAUAGGAAAUAAGUUUAAUAUAAAAAAACUAUAAACAUAUACUUACUCUUCUCUCAGCUUCUUUUAAAGAUGUAAAAUUAUAUUAAGUAAUUAUAAUAAUGUGUGUUGGGUUUGUAAUGUAUAGGAAUAACAUAUAUAACAAUAAUACCACAAAGCGGGGGAUGGGUUUAUAUAGGAAUAGGGUUGUUACAUUGGAAUUAAGUUAGUGUUUAUCUGAAGCCUAUUCUGUUUAGUUAAGAUGUGUAUGGUAAGCCCUAGAGCAACCACUGAGGAAAUAACUUUUAAAAAAUCAAAAAUAUUAUUAAAUGUAAAUAUCACAUUAUGAAAUAAUGCAAAAGAAGGAAUGGAGAAGCAAAAAGCUUGAGGCAUAUCAAAAACAAUAAAAUGGCAGUCAUAAGUCUUCCUAUAUCAAAAUAACAAUGUGCAUGGAUUAAGCAAUACUAUAAAAGGCAGAGAUGUCAGAAACAAGUCUGAUUCCACUUCAUGCCAUCUAUUUGAGACACACUUUAGAAGAUAGAAAGAGAUUAAAGGUAAAAGGAUGGAAAACAAAUAUAUCACACAGACAACAGCCAUAAGAAAGCUGGAGUGGCUAUUCUAAUACCAGACAAAAUAGACUUAAAAAAAUGUUACUGGAGAUAAAGAGUAAAAUGUUACAAUGAUAAAAGGGUCAAUACAUCAGGAAGAUGUAACAACUAUAAAUAUAUAUGCAUCUAACAGUAGAGCCCAAAAUACAUGAAGCAAAAACUGAAAGGAAAGGAGAAACAGAUAAGUCCAUAAAAAGAGUUGGAAUAUUCAAUACCCCUUUUUCAAUAAUAGAGCACCUAGACAGAAGAUAAACCAGGAAAUAGAAGACUUGAACAACAUUAUAAGGCAAAUUGACCUAAAAGACAUCUAUAGAACUUUCCACCCAACAUCAGAAUACAUAUUCUUCUCGAGUGCAUAUGAAACAUCUCCAAAAUAGGUCAUAAGUUAAAGCAUAAAACAAGCCUUAAUAAAUAUAAGUAGACUGAAAUCAUGCAAAGCAUGCCCUCUGACCACAUGGGAUGAAGUUAGAAAACAAUGAAAAGUUGGGAAACUCACAAAUAUGUGGAAAUCAGACACACUUGUAAGUGACUGGCUGGGUGCAGUAGCUCACGCCUGAAAUCUCAGCACUUUGGUAGGCCGAAGUGGGAGGAUUCCUUGGAUCCCUUGAGACCAGGAAUUCAAGACCAGCCUGGGCAACACAGCAAGACCCUGUCAUUACCAAAAAAAAAAAAAAAUGUGUCAAAGAAAAAAAUCAUAAGGGAAAUUACAAAACCCUUUGAGAUGAGUGAUAAUGAAGACACAACAAACCAAAACUUACAAGAUGCAGCUAAAGCAGUGUUUACAGGGAAAUCUAUAGGUACAAAUGCCUGUACUUAAGAAGAAAAAAGACCAGGCACAGUGGCUUACGCCUGUAAUCCCAGCACUUUGGGAGGCCGGGGCGGGUGGAGAUCAUGGGGUCAGGAGAUCGAGACCAUUCUGGGUAACAUGGUGAAACCCUGUCUCUACUAAAAAUACAAAAAAUUAGCCAGGCGUGGUCGUGGGCACCUGUAGUCCCAGCUACUCGGGAGGCUGAGGCAGGAGAAUGGCGUGAACCUGGGAGGCAGAGCUUGCAGUGAGCCAAGAUUGCACCACUGCACUCCAGCCUGGGCAGCAGAGCGAGACUCCAUCUCAAAAAAAAAAAAAAAAAGAAAAGAAAGACCAUAGCACUAACCUCACUUUACACCUUAAGACCCUGGAAAAAGAAGAGCAAACUAAACCUAGAGCCAGGAGAAAGAAGGAAAUAUAAAAGAUUAGAUGAGAAUAAAUGAAAUAGAGUGAAGAAAAGUAGAGAAAAAUCAAUGCAACCAAAAGUUGAUUCUAUAAAAAGAUCAGUAAAACUGACACACCUUCUGCUAGACUGACCAGGAAAAAAGGAGAAUCAAAUUACUAAAAUCAGAAAUGAAGGAGGGAACAUUUCAACUGAACUUGUAGAAAUAAAAAAGAUUAUGAAGGCAUAUUAUGAAUAAUUUUAUGUCAAUAAAUUAUCAAUGAAGUGGACAAAUUCCUAGGAAGACACAAACUACCAAAACCAACUCAGAAGUAGAAAACUUGAAUAAACCUAUAUCAAGUAAAUAGGUUAAAUGAGUUUUUGAAAAGAUACCCACAAAGAAGAGCCCAGGCUGAAAUAGCUUCUUAAAUGAAUUCUACAAAACUUUUAAUGAAAAAUUAAUACAAAUUCUUCACAAACUUUUUCAAAAAGUAGAAGAGUGGUGAACACUUCUGACACAUACUACAACAUGGAAGAACUCAGAAUAUGCUCAGUGCAAGAAGCCAGUCACAAAAGACUACAUAUUAUAUGAUACUAUUUAUAUGAAGUGUCCAGAAUUGGCAAAUAUAUAGAGAUAGAAAGUGGAUUAGUGGUUGCUUAGGGCUAGCACAGAGUUGGGGGGAAUGGGAAGGGCUGGGGGUAACAGUUGAAGUGUAUGAAGUUUCUUUAGAGGUUGAUGAAAGUGUUCUAAAAUUGGUCGUGGUGGUGAUUUCACAACUCUGAAUAUACUAAAAACCAGGAAUUGUACACGUUAAAUGGGUGAAUUGUGUGGUGUAUGAAUUAUAUCUCAAUAAAACUCACAAAAGUAGGGGUGUCCAUCAAUAGGAAAAUGGGUAAAUAACUUAUGGUACAUCUAUUUAGUACAAUACUAUGCAGCCAUUAAAAUAGUGAAGUGUAUCUAUGAAUAUAUUAUGACCUAUACUCAUGUCCAAGGUUGUGUAUUAAGUUAAUAAACAAGAUGCAGAAAUAUGUAUAGUAUGAAUACAUUUUUAUGCAAAAGCAUUCAUUUAUGUAUAGUAUGUAUGUAUAUAGAUAUUUCUGAAUAAAUUUAAGAAAAAGCUGGGAAAUAGACAUAGAAAGUUAUAAACCUUUGGAAGUGGGAUUGAAUAGGCUGAAGGAGGACUUUCACUUUGUAAAAUUUUUAAAGUGGUGUGAUUUUGGGGUGAUUUUUACUUUUUUCAUUUUUUUUUUUAACUAAAAAAUUUUUUAAAAAAUAUUCUGCCAAUGGCAUGGCUUCCAGAAUAUUUGUCAGGCCUACUCUGGGGAUAUCAUCUGACUAUACUCAGGACAAACUCCUAUUCCUUUGAUAUACUGCUCACUUAGGAUUAACACUCUAAUUUCAGACAUAGUUAAGUGACAAGGAAUAAAUUAUCCUGAUAUAGCCUCUGAUACAUGUUACCAGGGGCAUACUUCUAAGCUGGACUUUUUAGAAGGAAGUGCUUCCUGUUAGGUAGAAAAUUUCACCUCUGCUUUUUACUAGACCUACAGACCACUGCAAUUGAGGAACAUAAAAAUGAAGGAUAUCCUUCAACUGGUGCAUAGAUAAACCGUAGUAUAUCCAUGCAAUGGAAUCCUACUCAGCAAUAAACUAAUGAAAUACACAUGCAACCACUUGGAUGAAUCUUAAAUGCAUUUUACUAAGUAAAAGAAGCCAAACUCAAAAGGCUGCUUACUGUUUGAUUCCAUUCAUAUUAUUUUCUCAAAAAGCAAAACAAUAGGGAUGGAGAAAAAACUUCAGUGGAUGUCAGGGGUUAAGGUUGGAAUGCUCCUUGACUACAAAGUGGUAGCAUGAGGAAUUUGUCUUAAUAAUUGAAAUUUUCCGUGUCUUUAUUGUAGUUACAUAAGUAUAUGCAUUUGUCAAAACCCAUAGGCUUGUACACUAAAAAGGAUGAAUUUUACUGUGUGUAAUUUUUUUAAAUAAAUGUUAUUUUUAUGGAGGAAAGAAAAA